Molecule: long non-coding RNA, 1494 nt
Filed under: Sus scrofa (pig)
Lineage: Eukaryota; Metazoa; Chordata; Mammalia; Artiodactyla; Suidae
Description: lncRNA (ENSSSCG00070019503.1)
Source: RNAcentral
AUGCAGAUACGGCGGAGUCACGUGCCAGGGGCUGGGACGACUUCCUGUUGGAGGCCAACGCGGGGCGGGGAAGGGGGCGCGAGCGCCCCGUCUGGCUGGAGCGGGGGGAGGGGGGGUUCUUGUCAGUUAGAGCAACAAGAUGGCCGCGGUGGCAGCUCCGCACCUCAGCGCGACGGCCCCGGGAGCCACAGCCGCCGCCGCCGGCCCCGCCGCCCCGCAGCCCUGAGCGCCGCCCCGGCCGCCCCCACCGCCCCUGACAGGGCCGUCCCCGCGCUCGCCUCGUUCCUGCCGCCGCCGCUGCGGGCCCGCCGGAGCCGGAGGCGGAGGGAGCGGAGCCGGCCGAGCGCAGAGCGCCGAGCGCCGCCGCCGCCGCCUCCUCGGAUCCCGGGCCGCGCCGGAGCCGCCGUCCGCCCGCGGGCGCGAGGAGGAGGGCGCGCUGCGGCGUCGCCGGGGCCGGACCUGGACCCACCGGGACGCGUCGCCGCCCACCCGCCUGCGCCGCCGCCGCCGCCCGCACCGGGACCUGAGCCCGCGGCGCCGGCGUUGAGCGGGCCCCCGCCGCCCGAGCGCCCCGCAGGCCCCGGGGCGGCCGCCCGAGUGGUUGUCGCCGCCGCCGCCAGGCCCGCGCCGCCGGAGCCCCGCCGAGGAGCCGCCGCCGCUGCCGGGGACGGAGCCCAGGUGAGCGCGGGCAGGGCCUCCGAGCCGCCUCAGCCGGCCGAGCUGUUGGCGUCGCCUUUGUUCGGCCGGCCCGGAGCGCGAGGGGUCGCGGGUCCCGGCGGGAAGGGUGCGCGGCGCGGGGCGGCGGGAGGAGCCGCCUGCGGCGCGGGGCCCGGUGCGUGCGCGCGCGGGGAGAGGUUCGCCGGGCCCGGCGCGGUCGGAACGGUCGGCGCGGCGACCGGGCGGUUGCGUGUGUGGUGUGUGCAGCCGAUGCGGUUGGUGGAAGUGGCUUUCCCCGAGCACGCAUCCGCGGGUGUUGCAUUUCUGAAGGCAUGCACGAACCCAGCGUUUUCGGUGUGGGGCCUCCCGCGCCCUUGUUUGGGGGAGAGCAAACGCGGGCGUGCUCGGGCGAGCGCGGCAGGGCCCCUCGGCCUCCCGCGGGUCUGGAAUCAGGUGGGCUGCUCGCCGUGCUGCAGGCUGCGCGGCGAUGCUCACGAGGAACGCGAGCCGAGCCGCAGUCGCCUGGCUCUCGGAGCACGGAACCCGAGCGCCUCUGGGCCACCUCCGCUCGAGCGGCGCCUCGUCUGCACCUUGGCCUGGUGGAUGAGAGUUGUUAAUAGGUUGGUGCCUAUUAACGUGCAGAUGCAGAUGCAGGGUUCCCUGCGCGUUCACCGGGCGGAGAGCCGAGCGGUUCGCUGCAGGUCGCUCGGAGCUUUGGGAAUCUCACGGAAGAUGCAGGAUCGCUGCCUCGACCUCGCGGGCGGGGGAGGAGGAGCCGGAGGUCCUGGCUGCUCCUCCUGCGGUGGCAGGCACGCCACAGCCUCGGGGAUUCUGUAG